CCGUAUGCAGGGGGACAACAGUCAGAAAUGACUGCUAAUACCGCAUAAGCACACAAUGCUGCAUGGCAUGGUGUGAAAAGAUUUAUCGGCAUACGAUGGCCCCGCGUCUGAUUAGCCAGUUGGCAGGGUAACGGCCUACCAAAGCAACGAUCUGUAGCCGGCUUGAGAGAGUGACCGGCCACAUUGGGACUGAGACACGGCCCAGACUCCUACGGAAGGCAGCAG
This 225-nucleotide ribosomal RNA is filed under the name uncultured bacterium. Its description in RNAcentral is "partial 16S ribosomal RNA". It matches the Rfam family "Bacterial small subunit ribosomal RNA", at positions 129 to 354 of the family's 1533-position model. The record is from RNAcentral.